GGAUAGCCUUUCGAAAGAAAGAUUAAUACCCGAUGGUAUAAUUAGACCGCAUGGUCUUGUUAUUAAAGAAUUUCGGUUAUCGAUGGGGAUGCGUUCCAUUAGGCAGUUGGUGAGGUAACGGCUCACCAAACCUUCGAUGGAUAGGGGUUCUGAGAGGAAGGUCCCCCACAUUGGAACUGAGACACGGUCCAAACUCCUACGGGAGGCAGCAGUGAGGAAUAUUGGUCAAUGGGCGCAGGCCUGAACCAGCCAAGUAGCGUGAAGGAUGACUGCCCUAUGGGUUGUAAACUUCUUUUAUAUGGGAAUAAAGUUUUCCACGUGUGGAAUUUUGUAUGUACCAUAUGAAUAAGGAUCGGCUAACUCCGUGCCAGCAGCCGCGGUAAUACGGAGGAUCCGAGCGUUAUCCGGAUUUAUUGGGUUUAAAGGGAGCGUAGGUGGACAGUUAAGUCAGUUGUGAAAGUUUGCGGCUCAACCGUAAAAUUGCAGUUGAUACUGGCUGUCUUGAGUACAGUAGAGGUGGGCGGAAUUCGUGGUGUAGCGGUGAAAUGCUUAGAUAUCACGAAGAACUCCGAUUGCGAAGGCAGCUCACUGGACUGCAACUGACACUGAUGCUCAAAAGUGUGGGUAUCAAACAGGAUUAGAUACCCUGGUAGUCCACACAGUAAACGAUGAAUACUCGCUGUUUGCGAUAUACAGUAAGCGGCCAAG
RNAcentral lists this ribosomal RNA (708 nucleotides) under uncultured bacterium. RNAcentral describes it as "bacterial SSU rRNA". It matches the Rfam family "Bacterial small subunit ribosomal RNA", at positions 141 to 851 of the family's 1533-position model. The record is from RNAcentral.